RNAcentral lists this microRNA (23 nucleotides) under Ciona intestinalis (vase tunicate). Its description in RNAcentral is "cin-miR-5604-3p". The record is from miRBase by way of RNAcentral. Lineage: Eukaryota; Metazoa; Chordata; Ascidiacea; Phlebobranchia; Cionidae.
UUUCUCUACAUUUUGUGCUGCAG